GGACUACUGGGGUUUCUAAUCCCAUUCGCUACCCACGCUUUCGUCCUAGCAGUGUCAGGUGGCACCCAGAAGCCUGCCUUCGCUAUUGGUGUUCUGAACGAUAUCAACGGAUAUUACCCCUACACCGUUCAUUCCAGCUUCCUCUUUGCCCCUCAAGUCUUACAGUUCCAAAGGACAGAUUCCGAGUUGAGCUCGGAGAUUUCACCUCUGGCUUAUAAGACCACCGAUCGGUACGCUUUACGCCCAAUGAUUCCGGAUAACGCUUGAGGUCUCUGUAUUACCGCGGCGGCUGGCAC
Molecule: ribosomal RNA, 296 nt
Filed under: uncultured bacterium
Lineage: Bacteria
Description: partial 16S ribosomal RNA
Source: RNAcentral